This 57-nucleotide transfer RNA is filed under the name Strongyloides stercoralis. Its description in RNAcentral is "tRNA-Lys". It matches the Rfam family "tRNA". Rfam says of the family: Transfer RNA (tRNA) molecules are approximately 80 nucleotides in length. Their secondary structure includes four short double-helical elements and three loops (D, anti-codon, and T loops). Lineage: Eukaryota; Metazoa; Nematoda; Chromadorea; Rhabditida; Strongyloididae. The record is from RNAcentral.
GAGUGGUUAGCUUAAGUUUAAAGCGUUGGAUUUUUAAUCCAAUGAUUUAUCCACUUA